GAUGAAGAACGCAGCGAAACGCGAUAAGUAAUGUGAAUUGCAGAAUCCAGUGAAUCAUCGAAUCUUUGAACGCACAUUGCGCCCGCCAGCAUUCUGGCGGGCAUGCCUGUUCGAGCGUCAUUUCAACCCUCGACCUCCCCUUGGGGAGGUCGGCGUUGGGGAUCGGCAGCACACCGCCGGCCCUGAAAUGGAGUGGCGGCCCGUCCGCGGCGACCUCUGCGCAGUAAUACAGCUCGCACCGGGACCCCGACGCGGCCACGCCGUAAAACACCCAACUUCUGAACGUUGACCUCGAAUCAGGUAGGACUACCCGCUGAACUUAAGCAUAUCAAUAAGCGGAGGA
This 343-nucleotide unclassified non-coding RNA is filed under the name soil metagenome. Its description in RNAcentral is "partial contains 5.8S ribosomal RNA, internal transcribed spacer 2, and large subunit ribosomal RNA". The stretch from base 1 to 120 matches the Rfam family "5.8S ribosomal RNA", at positions 35 to 154 of the family's 154-position model. The record is from RNAcentral.